Non-coding RNA from Vicia faba (fava bean), 246 nucleotides. NCBI's taxonomy places the organism in Eukaryota, Viridiplantae, Streptophyta, Magnoliopsida, Fabales, Fabaceae. The record is from the annotation of a GenBank genome assembly.
AUGGAAGCUGGUAAAUGUUUUUUACAACAUUACAUAAAUGAAAGUUGUCUUUGCUUCAGCAUUAUGCAGCCCUCACUUAAAUUAACACUACUUACUAGACAAAAUCAAGAAGCAAUAAAGAAAAUGACCAAGAGUCAAACAACUAUACCCUGUAUACACUCACUAAUCCAAAAAUCUUAUGUACGAUACAGUUCAAUGACAAUGAUCAAUGACCUCAAUUCGAAGAACCUCCCAAUGAAAACGUAA